RNAcentral lists this ribosomal RNA (433 nucleotides) under uncultured bacterium. Its description in RNAcentral is "partial 16S ribosomal RNA". It matches the Rfam family "Bacterial small subunit ribosomal RNA", at positions 29 to 507 of the family's 1533-position model. The record is from RNAcentral.
AACGAACGCUGGCGGCAUGCCUAACACAUGCAAGUCGAACGAGACCUUCGGGUCUAGUGGCGCACGGGUGCGUAACGCGUGGGAACCUGCCCUUAGGUUCGGAAUAACUCCCCGAAAGGGGUGCUAAUACCGGAUAAUGUCUUCGGACCAAAGAUUUAUGGCCUUUGGAUGGGCCCGCGUUGGAUUCGCUAGUUGGUAAGGUAAAAGCCUACCAAGGCGACGAUCCAGAGCUGGUCGGAGAGGAUGAUCAGCCACACUGGGACUGAGACCCGGCCCAGACUCCUACGGGAGGGAGCAGUGGGGAAUAUUGGACGAGGGGCGAAAGCCUGAUCCAGCAAUGCCGCGUGAGUGAUGAAGGGCUUAGGGUUGUAAAGCUCUUUUACCCGGGAUGAUAAUGACAGUACCGGGAGAAUAAGCUCCGGCUAACUACGUG